RNAcentral lists this transfer RNA (64 nucleotides) under Leptestheria dahalacensis. RNAcentral describes it as "tRNA-Ile". The record is from RNAcentral. Lineage: Eukaryota; Metazoa; Arthropoda; Branchiopoda; Diplostraca; Leptestheriidae.
AGUCCAAUGCCUGAUGAAAAGGGUCAUCUUGAUAGGGUGGAUAAUGCGAUCUUCGCUUGGACUA